GGGGAGCGCGGCCGCAAGGUUAAAACUAAAAGGGACUUUGACGGGGCCCCGCACAAGCGGUGGAGCAAGUGGUUCAAUUCGAUGCUACGCGAGGAACCUUACCUGGGUUUGAACUNCGGAGGACAGGUNCAGAGACGUCCCCUUCCCUUCGGGGCNUUUCGCAGAGGUGCUGCAUGGCUGUCGUCAGCUCGUCCCGUGAGGUCUUGGGUUAAGUCCCGCAACGAGCGCAACCCCCGCCCCUAGUUACCAGCGGAUUAUNCCGGGGACUUUAGGGGGACUGCCGGCGUCAAGCCGGAGGAAGGUGGGGACGACGUCAAGUCAUCAUGGCCUUCAUGUCCAGGGCUACACACGUGCUCAAUGGGCGGUACAAAGGGUUGNGAAACCGCGAGGNGGAGCCAAUCCCAAAAAGCCGUCCUCAGUUCGGAUUGCAGUCUGCAACUCGACUGCAUGAAGUUGGAAUCGCUAGUAAUCGCGUAUCAGAACGACGCGGUGAAUACGUUCCCGGGCCUUGUACACACCGCCCGU
Molecule: ribosomal RNA, 525 nt
Filed under: uncultured bacterium
Lineage: Bacteria
Description: bacterial SSU rRNA
Rfam family: Bacterial small subunit ribosomal RNA
Source: RNAcentral